AAGUCGUAACAAGGUUUCCGUAGGUGAACCUGUGGAAGGAUCAUUACAACACCCUUUUCUUUUUUCAUUUCUUUUAAUGAAAUAAAACCCCCUUUUUGUUGAACUUUUUACUUUUUUAUUUUUGUAAUUUUUAUUUUAUUACUAUUAGGAUUAUAUGUAUUUUUAUUCUGUUUUUCUUUUUUCUUAUGAAAGAAGAAAGAAAUAGGAUGAUUAUAUAUAAUGCUAAUUAAUAAUAAUAAUAAUAAUAUACCCUAUCUUACCCCAAUCUUUAAUUUUUUAAAAAUCUGUUAUAAACCUAAAAAAACAAAAACUUUUAUUUUGCUUUUAUUAUUUUACAUAAUAAAAAGAAAAUAAAAGAAAAUAUUAUUAAUAAGAGAACAACUCUUAACAAUGGAUAUCUAGGCUCUCGU
Molecule: unclassified non-coding RNA, 410 nt
Filed under: fungal sp.
Lineage: Eukaryota; Fungi
Description: partial internal transcribed spacer region
Rfam family: Eukaryotic small subunit ribosomal RNA (bases 1-46)
Source: RNAcentral